CAGCAGCCGCGGUAAAACGGAGGGGGCUAGCGUUGUUCGGAAUUACUGGGCGUAAAGCGCACGUAGGCGGCUUUGUAAGUUAGAGGUGAAAGCCCGGAGCUCAACUCCGGAAUUGCCUUUAAGACUGCAGAGCUAGCAGGUGAGAGAGGUGAGUGGAAUUCCGAGUGUAGAGGUGAAAUUCGUAGAUAUUCGGAAGAACACCAGUGGCGAAGGCGGCUCACUGGCUCAUACUGGACGCUGAGGUGCGAAAGCGUGGGGAGCAAACAGGAUUAGAUACCCCCGUAGUCCCUGUCUCUUAUAC
RNAcentral lists this ribosomal RNA (301 nucleotides) under uncultured bacterium. RNAcentral describes it as "partial 16S ribosomal RNA". It matches the Rfam family "Bacterial small subunit ribosomal RNA", at positions 509 to 807 of the family's 1533-position model. The record is from RNAcentral.